This 560-nucleotide ribosomal RNA is filed under the name uncultured bacterium. RNAcentral describes it as "bacterial SSU rRNA". It matches the Rfam family "Bacterial small subunit ribosomal RNA", at positions 211 to 783 of the family's 1533-position model. The record is from RNAcentral.
UCCGACGGUCUGGGAUGGGCCCGCGGCCUAUCAGCUUGUUGGUGGGGUAACGGCCUACCAAGGCGAUGACGGGUAGCUGGUCUGAGAGGACUGACAGCCACACUGGAACUGAGAUACGGUCCAGACUCCUACGGGAGGCAGCAGUGGGGAAUCUUGCGCAAUGGGCGAAAGCCUGACGCAGCGACGCCGCGUGGGGGAUGAAGGCCCUCGGGUUGUAAACCCCUUUCGGCGGGGACGAAGCGAAAGUGACGGUACCCGCAGAAGAAGUCCCGGCUAACUACGUGCCAGCAGCCGCGGUAAGACGUAGGGGACGAGCGUUGUCCGGAUUGAUUGGGCGUAAAGCGCGCGCAGGCGGUCGUGCAAGUCGGUUGUGAAAACCCGGGGCUCAACCCCGGGCCUGCAUCCGAUACUGCUCGACUAGAGGCAGGUAGGGGAGAUCGGAAUUCCUGGUGUAGCGGUGAAAUGCGCAGAUAUCAGGAGGAACACCGGUGGCGAAGGCGGAUCUCUGGGCCUGUCCUGACGCUCAGGCGCGAAAGCUAGGGGAGCGAACAGGAUUAGAU